This 377-nucleotide ribosomal RNA is filed under the name uncultured organism. RNAcentral's name for it is "partial 16S ribosomal RNA". It matches the Rfam family "Bacterial small subunit ribosomal RNA", at positions 527 to 896 of the family's 1533-position model. The record is from RNAcentral.
GUAGGGGGCGAACGUUGUCCGGAUUUAUUGGGCGUAAAGGGCUCGUAGGCGGUUCAACAAGUCGGCCGUGAAAACCCGGGGCUCAACCCCGGGACGCCGGUCGAAACUGUUGUGACUAGGGUCCGGUAGAGGUCAUUGGAAUUCUCGGUGUAGCGGUGAAAUGCGCAGAUAUCGAGAGGAACACCAGUAGCGAAGGCGGAUGACUGGGCCGGUACCGACGCUAAGGAGCGAAAGCGUGGGGAGCAAACAGGAUUAGAUACCCUGGUAGUCCACGCCGUAAACGUUGAACACUAGGUGUGGGGGACUUAUCCACGUCCUCCCGUGCCCGUAGCUAACGCAUUAAGUGUUCCCGCCUGGGGAGUACGGCCGCAAGGCUA